RNAcentral lists this non-coding RNA (247 nucleotides) under Caryophanon tenue. Its description in RNAcentral is "T-box sequence". It matches the Rfam family "T-box leader". Rfam says of the family: Uncharged tRNA acts as the effector for transcription antitermination of genes in the T-box leader family. Lineage: Bacteria; Bacillati; Bacillota; Bacilli; Caryophanales; Caryophanaceae. The record is from RNAcentral.
AAAAAGCCAAUGACGGAGCAAGUAGUUUUUACAGGUGUGGUUAAAAGAGAGAAAAGACAUGGCUGAAAUCUUUUCCGAAGCACGUAACGACGAAUAACACUCAAGAGGCGUUUUUUCGAAAAGUGACAUACUUAGUAGGGGAAGCCGGCGAAUCGACCGUUAUUCGAUAAUGAAGGGGGCAUAGAGCGUAUUUCUAUGUCAACUAGGGUGGAACCGCGGAAGCUAUUAUUCAGCUCUCGUCCCUAGC